This 472-nucleotide ribosomal RNA is filed under the name uncultured bacterium. Its description in RNAcentral is "partial 16S ribosomal RNA". It matches the Rfam family "Bacterial small subunit ribosomal RNA", at positions 28 to 507 of the family's 1533-position model. The record is from RNAcentral.
GACGAACGCUGGCGGCGUGCUUAACACAUGCCAGUCGAACGCUGAAGCUUGGUGCUUGCACUGGGUGGAUGAGUGGCGAACGGGUGAGUAAUACGUGAGUAACCUGCCCUUGACUCUGGGAUAAGCCUGGGAAACUGGGUCUAAUACUGGAUACGACAUGUCACCGCAUGGUGGUGUGUGGAAAGGGUUUUACUGGUUUUGGAUGGGCUCACGGCCUAUCAGCUUGUUGGUGGGGUAAUGGCUCACCAAGGCGACGACGGGUAGCCGGCCUGAGAGGGUGACCGGCCACACUGGGACUGAGACACGGCCCAGACUCCUACGGGAGGCAGCAGUGGGGAAUAUUGCACAAUGGGCGGAAGCCUGAUGCAGCGACGCCGCGUGAGGGAUGACGGCCUUCGGGUUGUAAACCUCUUUCAGCACGGAGGAAGCGAAAGUGACGGUACGUGCAGAAGAAGCGCCGGCUAACUACGUG